UUUAAAAGAUUUUUUUCCUUCUCAGAUUGAACGCUGGCGGCAGGCCUAACACAUGCAAGUCGAGCGGAUGAAGAGAGCUUGCUCUCUGAUUCAGCGGCGGACGGGUGAGUAAUGCCUAGGAAUCUGCCUGGUAGUGGGGGAUAACGUUCCGAAAGGAACGCUAAUACCGCGUACGUCCUACGGGAGAAAGCAGGGGACCUUCGGGCCUUGCGCUAUCAGAUGAGCCUAGGUCGGAUUAGCUAGUUGGUGAGGUAAUGGCUCACCAAGGCGACGAUCCGUAACUGGUCUGAGAGGAUGAUCAGUCACACUGGAACUGAGACACGGUCCAGACUCCUACGGGAGGCAGCAGUGGGGAAUAUUGGACAAUGGGCGAAAGCCUGAUCCAGCCAUGCCGCGUGUGUGAAGAAGGUCUUCGGAUUGUAAAGCACUUUAAGUUGGGAGGAAGGGCAGUAAGUUAAUACCUUGCUGUUUUGACGUUACCGACAGAAUAAGCACCGGCUAACUUCGUGCCAGCAGCCGCGGUAAUACGAAGGGUGCAAGCGUUAAUCGGAAUUACUGGGCGUAAAGCGCGCGUAGGUGGUUCGUUAAGUUGGAUGUGAAAGCCCCGGGCUCAACCUGGGAACUGCAUCCAAAACUGGCGAGCUAGAGUACGGUAGUAGGGUGGU
RNAcentral lists this ribosomal RNA (665 nucleotides) under Ectopseudomonas oleovorans. Its description in RNAcentral is "bacterial SSU rRNA". It matches the Rfam family "Bacterial small subunit ribosomal RNA", at positions 1 to 663 of the family's 1533-position model. Lineage: Bacteria; Pseudomonadati; Pseudomonadota; Gammaproteobacteria; Pseudomonadales; Pseudomonadaceae. The record is from RNAcentral.